GGCACAUCACAAUGAAGCUAAAUAUACUGCCAUUUUUUUUUUUAAUUAAAGGUUAUAGAAAUUGUAUAUAAUUUUCUCUGCAAGGAGAAAUUGGGUGGAAUUGCUACAGGCUUUGAAGAGAAGUGGUGUCUGAAGUAAGAUUUAAUGUACAUUCUGCGUCUUUCAGUUUUAUUUCACAGGAAUGUAAGAACCACUACAUGGCCUGAUGUCCUGAAAAAGAAGAUUAUUCUUUUACUUGUGAUGGCAUUAUAGAAAGUGGAUUGAUGUUUAAAAAAUUAAACAAAACAUGGGAAGGAAAUAAGAGAUCUGACUAAGUAACUUGAUGGAUGCAAUGAAAACACAACAUCUACAAGUGAUUAAAUGAAAUCUUAUUUCAUGCACUACUCAAGAAUCUCUGUGGAAGAUUGCUGCAGAGCCAGCAGAGGUGUAGAACAGAUUUUGGGGUCUGUGCUGUCUUUUGGGCAAGGCUAAUC
RNAcentral lists this long non-coding RNA (473 nucleotides) under Zonotrichia albicollis (white-throated sparrow). RNAcentral describes it as "lncRNA (ENSZALG00000006633.1)". Lineage: Eukaryota; Metazoa; Chordata; Aves; Passeriformes; Passerellidae. The record is from RNAcentral.